AGAGUUGAUCCUGGCUUAGGACGAACGCUGGCGGCGUGCCUAACACAUGCAAGUCGAGCGGAGAUUCGGGGGAGCUUGCUCCACUGGGAUUCAGCGGCGGACGGGUGAGUAACGCGUGAGCAACCUGCCUUCAACAGGGGGAUAACGCAUCGAAAGAUGUGCUAAUACCGCAUGAGACCACAACAUCACAUGGUGAAGGGGUCAAAGGAGCAAUCCGGUUGAAGAUGGGCUCGCGUCCGAUUAGCUGGUUGGUGAGACAACAGCCCACCAAGGCGACGAUCGGUAGCCGACCUGAGAGGGUGAUCGGCCACAUUGGAACUGAGAUACGGUCCAGACUCCUACGGGAGGCAGCAGUGGGGAAUAUUGGGCAAUGGGCGAAAAAGCCUGACCCAGCAACGCCGCGUGAGGGAAGAAGGGUUUCGGCUCGUAAACCUCUGUCCUGUGGGACGAAGGAAGUGACGGUACCACAGGAGGAAGCCCCGGCUAACUACGUGCCAGCCGCGGC
Molecule: ribosomal RNA, 505 nt
Filed under: uncultured bacterium
Lineage: Bacteria
Description: bacterial SSU rRNA
Rfam family: Bacterial small subunit ribosomal RNA
Source: RNAcentral